Long non-coding RNA from Homo sapiens (human), 6424 nucleotides. RefSeq lists it as uncharacterized. Lineage: Eukaryota; Metazoa; Chordata; Mammalia; Primates; Hominidae. The record is from RefSeq and is a predicted model, not a curated record. The transcript is spliced from 3 exons.
GUUCCUUUUUCAAAGCUGUACUGUUGUCGGUAAAUUCUUUUUACCAACCCCCCAGUCGACCACUUCCCGGUGCCGGGGCUCUGACACCGCGCGCAGAGACAGAGGCAGGCGGCCCCCUCUCUGCUGCCCCUUCUCCCUGCUGGUCUCAUGAAUGCUCUCACCUGAGCUUCUCCUUUUCCUUUUCUACUUUCUCCUUUACCAAGGGCGCAGCUGCUCUUCGGAGAGGCAGUUGGGUCCACAGAAUCAGCUGCCUCUUGGAGAGCGGUGUGAGGUUAUGAGGGAGCUGAGGGGAAGUAAAGAGAGGGUCCAGUGUGCCUCACCUUGGUCCCACACACCGAAGGAAAGGGUUUCAGAGAGGACUGGUGGAUGCUGACACACCGUCCAUUUUGAGAAGACUCCUUGUAUGGGUGGCAGUGUGCUUCCCCAAAACUCAUGUUGAAGCCCUAACCCAUAACACCUUAGAAUGUGACUGUAUUUAGAGACUGGAUUUCUAAAGAGGCGAUUAAUUUUAAAGAGACCAUUAGGGUGAGCCCUAAUCCAAUCUGCCUGCUGUUCUUAUAAGAAGAGGAAAUUGAACCUGCAAGGAGCUAUUAGGGCCUCUUGCAGAGAGGGAUGACCGCAUGCAGAGGCCACAAGAGGGCGCCCUCUGCAAGCCAAGGAGAAACCUCAGAAGACACCAACCCUGAAGAGGAAAUUGAUGUUGGACUUCUGGCCUCCGGAAGAACACAGAGUCUUGCUGUGUUGCACAAGCUGACCUCCAACUUCUAGGCUCAAGUGAUCCUUCCACCUCGACCUCCCGCAGUGUUGGAAUAACAGGUCUCAGCAACUCCUUUGUUGCCAACUUUUACCGGACCCAUGGGUCUGAAAGAGAAGCACAGUCCAUAGUGUUCCAGCUUUGAGUGUGGCUCUCUCAGAAGAAGGUGUGACAGCUGCCUCCUUGCUAAGAGAAAGACGUUUCAGUGUCUGCCUCCUGGGAAUGGAGUCUCCUGGUGACUCUGAGGAUGGCGCAGGACUCUCCCAGCUAACACUACACAGAGGCUCCCCCUCUUCAUGCCACCCCUUUGCCAGCUGCAGCCUGUGUGGACCCAGACACUUCUGACCCAGGCUCCAGUGCCCGCAUGUCUGAUAGCCUGUAUUUCAAACUCUGGGCUCUCCUGGACAUUCCCUCUCCAGCUGUAUAUGAUGUUAUUUUUCAGACCCAUUUACUGUUGUCCAGUGGCCUGCCAAGACCUUUAGGUGAAGACGCUGACUCCCUCGCCGGCUCUUCUUCAUUCUUUUCAAACACACGUCAGAGUGGAACGCACAUCCUUUUUGCUUCACCUUCCAGGUUUGCUAUCCCUUUAAUGCAGAAAGACUGUCUUUUGUGUGUGUACUCCACAGAAAAGGAUCAGUGUUUACCCCUUGUGCUGAUUUUGCAUCAAGGAUAGCAUUCCAUGAAGGUGGCUGGGACUGCCUUGCAUUUCAAAACCAUUUUAAAAGCAGAAGCUAACUCCGCAGCCUAUGCUGCCCCAGUUGGCUUUCCUACUUUUCCACCACAGUGAGCUAAGGAGAGCCCAUGGUACCACCAUGGUCUCCAUAAGGAAGGGAGAAGACCAGCACAGGGAGUAAGGCUGCAGGGUCCUUGGUGUCUGUGCUCCCAGUCCCUCUAGCCACCUUCCAGUUGGCUCCCUAAAGACAACGUUUCACCAUGUUGCCCAGGCUGGUCUCAAACUCCUGGGCUCAAGCAAUCCACCCACCUCGGCCUCCCAAAGUGCUGGGAUUACAGGUGUGAGCCACUGUGCCUGGACAACAAAUACUCUUUUGAGGGAGGCAGUCAAGCUGGGCAGUUUCUACAAGUUUGGUUUUUUUGUUUGUUUGUUUUUGGCACAGAAAUCAAUCAUUUCUCAUCUUAGCUUCAAGUAAUUACAUGAGAGCUGUUCAAACUUGAGCAUGCAUCAGAAUCACCAGAGGGCUGGAUAAAACUGAGAUUGCUGAGCUCCACUCCCCAAGUUUCUAUUCAGUAAGUCUGGUGUAAGGCCUAAGAAUAUGCAUUUCUACAGUGUUCUCAGGUGAUACUGAUGCUGCAGGUUUGGGGACCAUAUUUUGAGGACCAAUACAUUCUAUUUUAAUUCCACCAUUAAUAGUUAACUUUUAUUUUUUAGAGACAGGGCCUCAGUCUGCUGCCCAGGCUGGAGUGCAGUGGUGCAAUCAUUGUAACCUUGAACUCCUGGGCUCCAACGGACCUCAUGCCUCAGCCUCCUGAGUAGCUGGGACUGUAGACCCAGGCCACCACCACACCUGGCUAAUUUUUUUUUUUCUUUCGUAGACACAGGGUCUUGCUGUGUUGCCCAGGCUGGCCUCCAACUUCUAGGCUCAAGUGAUCCUUCCACCUUGACCUCCCACAGUGUUGGAAUAACAGGUGUGAGCCUGCACCCCAGCCUAAUUCCAUCAUUAAUUUGUAAGUGGUUUCCGCUAUGUUUAAAACUUAGCAGAAGCCGCAACUUUCCCUCAGCAAACCAGGGAACAGGUGGUAACCAAGUUCUCAAGACACCUUCUUAAUUAACUACUUAACCAGCGCUAGCUGCAUGCAACUGAACACUGAAGAAGACAACUUUCAGGUACCAGGAGUUAGGAGCCAAGGCCCCGGGCAGGUGCCGUUUCUUCCAUGCAGCCUUCCCUGAUUCCCUGUUUGGUGGUGGUUUUCCUUUCUCUCUGCCUUCAGAAUGCAUUGCCUGCUUCUCCAUUACAGCAUUCACUGUGUGUCAUCCUGAAUUGUGGGUAUGAGUUGUAAGUCUUACAUGUUCUUGUAAACUUCUUAACAGUGAGGACUGGGUCACCCAGGAAAGUGGUUUGCAACAUGGUAAGUUCCUGAGGUUUGCUGGAUUGAAAUGAAUUUUAAGUUUUAAAUGUUAAGUUCUUAUCUUACUAUUUCAAACUCUCAUCACGGCCAAUUCCAGGUGAUGCUCUUUCCUGGGUUCCAAACGACACAGGGGCUUACUGGGGUGAAGGAGAGCUCCCCAGCACCGGGGCCUGGGAGCAGCUUGUGGCUGGGGUGGGGUAGGAUGGGGUGGGGGUGGCUGGCCUGGCCUCACCUUAGGGCUCUCCACUCUGCAGAUGCUCACCCCAGCAAGGGAGUCCAGUGCCAUCUUUCUCUGGGAUCUGGACCCGCUCAGGGGCUUUCUCUUUCCCUGCCCUUAUUUAGAGCAAAUCUCUGUCCUUGCCCUUUCCAGCUUCUGCCACGUGCUGCAGGAGGCUUCAGAAAGCACAGGUCUGUUUUUAGAUUUUGCCUCACGUGUGUGCAGCGAACUUAAUGAGCUCUCUAUAGGGGUAGCUUUCUUGAGAGACCGUUGCUAAGGGCCAGUCACACGUUUCUCACCGUGUUGUGAUGGAAACGUGAUUAGAUGCUGAUCUGUGCUCAGCAGAACCUGCUGGAGUGUCUGGUUGGAGUGGCCUCUUCUACAGGGGCCUGAGGGAUUUCACAGGCCCACAGACCCAGCCUUGUGAUUUCAGCAAAUGGACAAGGGGUGGUAAAAUGUAACGGGGUGGAGGGUUUUGGAAGACCUCAGAUCCCUGUGAUUGACGGCACUGAUCCACUUCAGCAGCUUUGCCUGAGCACUGUCUGUGGUGGGUACCAAAGACACUGGAGCUCUGUGGCCUCUGCCCUUUAGGAGCCUAUAAGCAGCUGGGGCAGUGACAGUAGACAGAAAGGGUUAAUCAGCAAUCUGUGGCUUCCUGGGCCUAAGGGCAGCCGGUCAGGGGAUCCCGGCAUAGGGAGAAUCUGGGGAGUAGUUCAGUGGGCUGGAGUGGUUAGAAAAGUUAGCACUUUAACCGGGUCCUGAAGCACCAGCCUGGAGGAUUGGGAGUGGUGGGGAGGAAAGGUAAGGGGCCCGCAGCAGGGAAGGAAGGAUCAGUAUGCAGCAGGGCUGGAGGCAGAAGUGAACUCAUCUGGCAAGAUAACAGUGAUGGCCACCAUUCGUUGACCACCCUUUUUGGGCCAGGCUCCCUUCUAGGUGUUUCCUCUUUCUGUCCUCACAACCACCCUGAAAAGUUGGUGCUAUGAUCCCAAGUUACAGAAGAGAACUGAAGCCUGGAGAGGCGCCAUACACUGUUCAUAGUCACACAGCUGGGAGGCAGCCGUCCAAAGUUAAUCCCAGGCUGUUCUGACUCCCCAACCGGUGUUGGGAUGGAGGAGAGUGGAGGGUGAGCUGCCUGGAAGAGGGAGAGGUCUGGGCUGGGGUGGAGAAGGAGGCUCAGCUUUAGGAGAGAGGGGGUCCAGGAUGGACAGCCAGGGAGCUGCCCUGAGGGGCUUGUCUGGAUCCUGUGGUUAAGGGGUCUGCAGAGGAGGGAUGUACCUCUCAUCUGCACCACAUGCAAAUUCCUGUAAAAAAAUAUUGCUUUGUGUAUAUUCUAUACACACACAAAUAUGUCUGUAUGCAUUAGAGAGUUGCAUUUAUCUCGCUGUGUAAUGCUGUGCUUUAUCAUAUAUCUACUAUACUGGUAUAAUAGUGCAUGUCUAUGAUUGGUGUAUAACUAAACAUACAUAUAUUGGAUGUAACAGUGUAAAAAUGUUUCAGUGAUGGGGUUUCUCCAUCCUAUGGUUUCUCCAGCCUAUGGCUGGAGAUGUUGUUCAGGGUGCGAAGGGCAGGGGGAGUCCCCAAAAACCUCAGGAGUGAAAACUACAUGAAACACCAGAAGAAUGUGGAAGCUGGUGGGCAGCAUAAAUUCUGCCAGAUCCUGGGGCCAGUCUAUUGAAUCACAGAGGAGUGAAGCUGCCAAUAAGAGGCUGAGACCUGGAACUGGAUCCAUUCCCUGGUCAGGGAGGCCUGGGGGGACGCCGAGGCCAGCAGGCAGAAACUGGAAUCGCACCAGUACAGCAAAGCGGACGCAGCCCCUGAUGUGACUAUAGGGUAUCCUGGCGCAGGCCAGGCCAGUGGGGUUUAGGGUGUCAGCAUAGAGCAGGGUUCUGGCCAUGGGGUGGUGCCUGAGGCAGGAGAGUUGGCAGGAACAAGGCAGGUCCCAGUGUUCAAUACGCUGAGAAACUUGGCAGCAUCAAGAUAGGAACUAAGAUGGCAAUUCAGGGAUCAAUGGUGGUAUAGUCAAGGCGGUGUUGCCUAAUGGUUAUGAGCAUAGGCUUCAAUGUGAGACAAAUCUGGGUUUAAACCCCCACUCAGCCACUUCAAAGCCGUGUGAACUUGUGUGAAUUUCCCAGCCUCCCCUAGCCUCACUUUCCUCACAGGCGAAAAGGAUAAUGAUACUUAUCCACAAGGUAGUUAGUUACAAGGAUGAAAUGAAAUGUGCUAUGUGUGUGUUUGGCACUGUAUGACCUAUGACAACUGCUAUUAUUGUUUUAGAAAUAUUAUUUAUUCUGGUGGGUCUUGGGAAUAAGGCAGCUUCCUGGAAAUCAUACCUGGGGCAAAGGCCAGAGCCAGGCCCAUCACAUGGGUGACCAGUCGCCCAGCCCUUCAGUCCCUACUGCCUCUGGUAGGGCUGGGGAGAAAGGAGGAUUGUAGAUAUGAGGAAUUAGGCCAGGUAGAACAGCAGCUCCCCAAAACCUAAGCAUAAGUUGUGAGGAGGUUAUUGUCCUCUAAUGACAGCAAUUACAGGGCCUGCUGGAAGUUUCUCACCCAGCCACCUCCUCCCCUCUCUCAGGGUCUCUGCCCGAGCCGUUCCCUCUGUCCAGCCUGCUCCUUCCACAAUCUUUGCCAGGUUGGCUCCUUUUUGCCACUGAUAAAUUUUGACUGUCAUUUUCCCAGAGAAGCCCUUCCUGACUACUCCAUCUAAAGCUGCCCCCAGUUAUAGAGCCCUCCACCCAGCUACAAUGGGAUACUCAUUUUUUUCAAAUGUAAAUGGAUCAUUCACUACCGUAGGCCAUAUGCUGGUCAUAAAUCAUGUCUCAAUAAGUUAAAAGGAUUGAAAUUAUGCAGAGUAUAUUCUUUGACCACAACAAAGUGAAAAAUCAUUAACCAAGAAAAAUCUAGGAAAUCUCCAAGAUUUGGGAAUUAAAUAAUACUUUCCUGAACAAGCCAUGGGUCAAACAAGUCAUAAGAGAAAUUAGAAAAUAUUUUCAAGUGAAUUAUAAUGAAAAUACAACAUAACAAAAUUUGUGGGGUUCAGCUAAAGCAAUGCUUUAGGGCGAAAGUGUUAGCUUUAAAUGCCUACAUUUAGAAAUAAGAAAGGUCUAAAGUGAAUGAUCUGUGCAUCCUCCUUAAGAAGCAAAACAUACAAAUAAAUAUAAGGAAAAGUGAAGAAUGGGAGAGACAGUGAAAAUUGAUGAAAUAUAAAAUGGAUAGCAAUAGAUAAAAUUAAUAAAACCAAAGCCUGGUUCUUCGAAAGGCUCAAUAAAACAGAUAAACCUGUAGCUCAGCAAAUCAAGCAAAAAUGAAAACACAAAUUGACAACAUGAAGAAUGAAAGAGGAAACAUCACAAACACUCCACAGGCAUCAA